This 586-nucleotide long non-coding RNA is filed under the name Felis catus (domestic cat). RNAcentral describes it as "lncRNA (ENSFCAG00000046925.1)". The record is from RNAcentral. Lineage: Eukaryota; Metazoa; Chordata; Mammalia; Carnivora; Felidae.
UAUCACAUUUUCUGUAUUAUUCCAGAUUUUUUCAUAAAGAGAUUUUCUCACCACUGAGUUAAAAAGGAUUUACUUUUUAUGCUCAGAUCUUCAAUCAAAUGGCAUUCACUAUGGAUUAUGGUAUUCAGAUGGAUACUGAGCUUGGAGCAUUCAACCCAGUUUUCAGCAUGAAAUUGCACCUGUCAUUCAUCAUGGUUCACAAGCAAAAGCUAGCUCAACACAAAAGCUACCAUACAUUACUGUCCACCCUGUUUUAUCUCUCCUUAUGGUGGAAAAGACGUCUCUUUGUCCCGACCAGCAAUUAGAAGACAGAGGAUUUAGAGAACAAGGUAAAUUAAACCAGGGUCAUCAUAGUAGUAAUGAAAUCCUCUGGGUGUUAGAGGUCCACAGAACCAACUAUGGUUUUCAUUAAAUUGGGUUCUAAGAUAAUCUACUGAGGGAUACUUUCCCAUAUUUUUCCCUCUGGAAAAUAUGCCUAUGUAAGUACUGUAUUUCCCUAAAAUAAUGGGUUCUCCUCUGUGAUUGUGGGUUUAUGAGUGGGAAGACCAAGAUAAAAAAUAAAAAAUAAGUUUGACUAGGUGAGUCA